CUGUUUCUCAUCGUUUUUGGGUAUGCGAUUAAUUCAGAUAGUUUUUGAGCUUUUUAAUUGAUUUUGUUUUAGCUUUUUAAUUGAUGUUCUUGGUUUAUCUGGCUAUAUUAAUUUUUAGCUUGCAUUUCUGUAGUUUAUUGUUUACAUAGUGCUUUGUUUGGACAGUGGAAUGGCAUUCAAUUGAACGGUCAUGUAUAGCUGUUCUUAAUUUUAGUUCAAAAUUUAAAUGUUAGAAUGGUUGAUAUUAUUUCGUGGAAUAGCUAUUCCAUAAUAUCAAAUGUAAUUUUAAUCAUCUAACAGAGCUGAAUGGCUAAAUAGUAUCAUAUGGCUGACCUAACUAG
Molecule: unclassified non-coding RNA, 341 nt
Filed under: Hevea brasiliensis (rubber tree)
Lineage: Eukaryota; Viridiplantae; Streptophyta; Magnoliopsida; Malpighiales; Euphorbiaceae
Source: RNAcentral